This 316-nucleotide long non-coding RNA is filed under the name Ictidomys tridecemlineatus (thirteen-lined ground squirrel). RNAcentral's name for it is "lncRNA (ENSSTOG00000030468.1)". The record is from RNAcentral. Lineage: Eukaryota; Metazoa; Chordata; Mammalia; Rodentia; Sciuridae.
AUCGGGGAGACAUCCAGCAUCCCCUUCCCUGCCCAGGCCUCCACCAAGUCCCCUGGGACAGCUGGAGACAACAUCCUCCACCCACACCUCCGGGGCAGCCUGGGGUACUGGGGCCCUUCCAGAGGGAGGGUGGGAAAAGAUGAGGCCUCCUGCAGCUGAAGUGAAAGAGCUGGGCCCGUGGCCAAGCCCCCUGCCCCUGUCAGCACCUUUCCAACUCCUCGAAAAAGAAACUGGAGCUGGGAAGGCGGCCUUUGCCUGGCUCCUCUGCAGGUGAGCUCAUGUCUUGGGGGUUCCUGGGUUUGUUCCUUUUGAGGGG